AUACAUCUGAACCCAAAACAACUGAAAAUGAUUUUCUUAGAGAUUGUGUUUUCUCUGUUACAGAUGAUGGAAUCAUUACCCCUUAAAGCUGCUUGCCCUUGAUUGUGGAAUUAGUGACUUCAUCAACACCGGCAGAACAAACACAGCUCCCCAAGCUUAGAGCCUGGCAGGUAAAAAACUUUCCAGGCAAAAAUAAGGAAACAUUCAUGGUAACUGAAGGCACCUACAAACUGAUGAUAAAGGACUUGAAACCAACAGGCCAAGUUCAUCCCUGGUGUAACUCCAAUUGUUUCAAUUCAAACCUAUCUGAAGUGAAGGACUUUGGCAGAAUCCGUCAUGAAGUCACGGGCUAAUACUGCCAGAGGCUUUUGUCUGACCUGAACAUUUCAGUAGUGGAAAUAGCUCCUGACCAUUGACUCACAGAACAAUAAGAGCAAAACAGCUUUACUGCUCUUAUCUCCUCCCUCGGAGAACAUUCCUCCUGCUCCAGACCCCCACCGGGAUGACAACCCUCUGUCUGCAUGACUGAUAUCCAGCAUGUCUUAAUCUACCAAACCACAUAGCUGUAUCCAACACUGGCCCAUUGGGAUAUGGUUCCUUAAACCUCAAAGCAAAUUGCAAUCGCACAAUAGCAUGUCAGGUAUAUUUAGAAGCAGCUGAUGCCCUCUCCCUUUCUCCCCCAUCUCUCUCUCUCUCUCUCUCUC
Molecule: long non-coding RNA, 704 nt
Filed under: Chrysemys picta bellii (western painted turtle)
Lineage: Eukaryota; Metazoa; Chordata; Testudines; Emydidae
Description: lncRNA (ENSCPBG00000025599.1)
Source: RNAcentral